Molecule: long non-coding RNA, 395 nt
Organism: Tupaia belangeri chinensis (Chinese tree shrew)
Lineage: Eukaryota; Metazoa; Chordata; Mammalia; Scandentia; Tupaiidae
Exons: 4
Source: RefSeq, a predicted model, not a curated record
GGACGUUCACCCUUCGCUUCACCCACUGGAUACAACCUGGCGCCACGUGCAGGCAGAGGGCCCGGAGCAGAGGCGCACCUCCGAGCGCCCUCUUCCAGGAUGCUUGCGUUAGUCUCCACAUCUCUGAAAGAGUCCAACCUUUCCCCUUCCAGAACAGCAUCUCUGACAGCGGCCUGGAAAAAGCCUUCAUGCUAUAGAUCUCUGACACACACGUGUGCAUCUGACAUGCGUCAGGCCGUUCCGCCAGGACCUGGACUUCAGUCACAUGUGGGAUCCUGUCUCCCCUGAGCAGUGCACCUCCAUGGAGCCACAAAGCCAGCAUGGCCCCGGCAGGACUGUGCCCUGUCCCAGGCGGACAGGGGAGGGCAGAGCCUCAGUGCUGGGUACGGCCAGGC